AACGAACGCUGGCGGCAUGCCUAACACAUGCAAGUCGAACGAGACCUUCGGGUCUAGUGGCGCACGGGUGCGUAACGCGUGGGAAUCUGCCCUUGGGUUCGGAAUAACAGUUAGAAAUGACUGCUAAUACCGGAUGAUGUCUUCGGACCAAAGAUUUAUCGCCCAGGGAUGAGCCCGCGUAGGAUUAGCUAGUUGGUGGGGUAAAAGGCCUACCAAGGCGACGAUCCUUAGCUGGUCUGAGAGGAUGAUCAGCCACACUGGGACUGAGACACGGCCCACGACUCCUA
This 287-nucleotide ribosomal RNA is filed under the name uncultured bacterium. RNAcentral's name for it is "partial 16S ribosomal RNA". It matches the Rfam family "Bacterial small subunit ribosomal RNA", at positions 29 to 341 of the family's 1533-position model. The record is from RNAcentral.